GCCGCUAUAGCUCAGGGGUAGAGCAACACAUUGGUAAUGUGUAGGUCGCGGGUUCAAUUCCCGCUAACGGCACCA
RNAcentral lists this transfer RNA (75 nucleotides) under Rickettsiales bacterium. RNAcentral's name for it is "tRNA-Thr". It matches the Rfam family "tRNA". From Rfam's summary of the family: Transfer RNA (tRNA) molecules are approximately 80 nucleotides in length. Their secondary structure includes four short double-helical elements and three loops (D, anti-codon, and T loops). Lineage: Bacteria; Pseudomonadati; Pseudomonadota; Alphaproteobacteria; Rickettsiales. The record is from RNAcentral.